RNAcentral lists this ribosomal RNA (198 nucleotides) under uncultured bacterium. Its description in RNAcentral is "partial 16S ribosomal RNA". It matches the Rfam family "Bacterial small subunit ribosomal RNA", at positions 1288 to 1500 of the family's 1533-position model. The record is from RNAcentral.
UAGUUCGGAUUGUAGGCUGAAACUCGCCUACAUGAAGCUGGAAUUGCUAGUAAUCACAGGUCAGCAUACUGUGGUGAAUACGUUCCCGGGCCUUGUACACACCGCCCGUCACACCAUGAGAGUUGAGAAUACCCGAAGCCCAUGUCAAAGUGGUCGAAGGUAGGCUUGAUGAUUGGGGUGAAGUCGUAACAAGGUACC